CCUACGGGUGGUAGCAGUAGGGAAUCUUUCACAAUGGGCGAAAGCCUGAUGGAGCAACGCCGCGUGCAGGAUGAAGGCCUUCGGGUUGUAAACUGCUUUUAUAAGCGAGAAAUAUGAUGGUAACUUAUGAAUAAGGAUCGGCUAACUACGUGCCAGCAGCCGCGGUCAUACGUAGGAUCCGAGCAUUAUCCGGAGUGAUUGGGUGUAAAGAGUUGCGUAGGUGGCAUAAUAAGUAGCUAGUGAAAUCUGGUGGCUCAACCAUUCAGACUAUUAGCUAAACUGUUAAGCUCGAGACCGUUAGGGGUAACUGGAAUUUCUUGUGUAGCGGUGAAAUGCGUAGAUAUAAGGAAGAACACCAGUGGCGAAGGCGGAUUACUGGACGAUAACUGACGGUGAGGCGCGAAAGCGUGGGGAGCAAACAGGAUUAGAUACCCCAGUAGUC
RNAcentral lists this ribosomal RNA (442 nucleotides) under uncultured bacterium. RNAcentral's name for it is "partial 16S ribosomal RNA". It matches the Rfam family "Bacterial small subunit ribosomal RNA", at positions 338 to 795 of the family's 1533-position model. The record is from RNAcentral.